AGAGAGAGACAUGCGCGCAUAUCAAUAAGCGGAGGAAAAGAAACUAACAAGGAUUCCCCUAGUAACGGCGAGUGAAGCGGGAAGAGCUCAAAUUUGAAAUCUUAAAGGGUUUCCCUUUACGAAUUGUAGUUUAAAGAAGUGUUUUCUGUUGAGGUUUUGGUAAAAGUUCUUUGGAAUAGGACAUCAUAGAGGGUGAGAAUCCCGUAUUUGACCUUUACUUUCAACUUUGUGAUACACUUUCAAAGAGUCGGAUUGUUUGGGAAUGCAGUCCAAAAUGGGUGGUAAAUUUCAUCUAAAGCUAAAUAUUGGCGAGAGACCGAUAGCGAACAAGUACCGUGAGGGAAAGAUGAAAAGAACUUUGAAAAGAGAGUUAAACAGUACGUGAAAUUGUCAAAAGGGAAGCGUUUGACACCAGUGUUGUUUUUCUGAAAAUCAAUUAAAGAACUGUUUAUGCUAAGCUGUUUAGACUUUAUCAGCUAUACUGUUUAGUUUUGAGCUUUUCUUUAAUGCACUUUUCAGUUAACAAGUCAACAUCAAUUUCUUUUGCUGUAAAAAAGCUUGAGGAAGGUGGCUUGAGAUUCGUCUUAAGUGUUUAUAGCCUCUUGCCUAUGCAGUCGGAGAGAUUGAGGUCUGCAGCGUAGAUCCUUCGGGGCUAAAUGCAUUUGUGCUAAGUUAUAGCAUUUUAUAGACAACUUGUUGACUAUGAUUUGUCUUGUAGCUUACUCGCUUAUGUUAUUUUACCUACGCUUAGGAUGUUGACGCAUGAGAUAUACGC
RNAcentral lists this ribosomal RNA (775 nucleotides) under uncultured Neocallimastigales. RNAcentral's name for it is "partial large subunit ribosomal RNA". It matches the Rfam family "Eukaryotic large subunit ribosomal RNA", at positions 23 to 647 of the family's 3401-position model. The record is from RNAcentral. Lineage: Eukaryota; Fungi; Neocallimastigomycota; Neocallimastigomycetes; Neocallimastigales.